Molecule: long non-coding RNA, 131 nt
Organism: Haliotis rubra (blacklip abalone)
Lineage: Eukaryota; Metazoa; Mollusca; Gastropoda; Lepetellida; Haliotidae
Exons: 3
Source: RefSeq, a predicted model, not a curated record
UGUAAAGUUUAUAACAGAUUUGUUUCAUUCGACUGUUGUUUCUCUAGUGUCAUGUUUAACGUAAGUUGAAAUUUAAUACCUCUUAAAUCUUUCAGUUCUUCGUUUACUAUGUCAAAUACCAAUGGUUUUAU